Pangasius djambal is the source of this 72-nucleotide non-coding RNA. NCBI's taxonomy places the organism in Eukaryota, Metazoa, Chordata, Actinopteri, Siluriformes, Pangasiidae. The record is from the annotation of a GenBank genome assembly.
UCCCUUGAGGCCUAGUGGUUAGGUCGCGGCACUAUCACUGCCACGGACCAGGUUCAAUUCCCAGAAAGGGAA